This 253-nucleotide ribosomal RNA is filed under the name uncultured bacterium. RNAcentral's name for it is "partial 16S ribosomal RNA". It matches the Rfam family "Bacterial small subunit ribosomal RNA", at positions 524 to 776 of the family's 1533-position model. The record is from RNAcentral.
UACGUAGGUGGCAAGCGUUGUCCGGAUUUACUGGGCGUAAAGAGCGCGCAGGCGGUCGAAUAAGUCGAAUGUGAAAGCCCCCGGCUUAACUGGGGAGGGUCAUUCGAUACUGCUCGACUUGAAGGCAGGAGAGGGAAGUGGAAUUCCCGGUGUAGUGGUGAAAUGCGUAGAUAUCGGGAGGAACACCUAUUGCGAAGGCAGCUCGCUGGGACGUAACUGACGCUGAGACGCGAAAGCGUGGGGAGCAAACAGG